UGAAAGCGUAAAAAGUAGGAGGCAAGAAGGUGGAAUCUGCUUCAAAAUACUUUUUAACAAGGCCUUGUACACUGUUUAAAGAUGGUAUGACUUAUAAUUAAUGCUUGCAGCUACGUGGCAGACAAAAUCCGCCACAGCUGUAAGUCAAAGCAGGAGAGAGAGGAGGCGGAGGAGGUGAAAGGCAUUGGACAGAGACAGUGUGUCAUCAGUAAAUAUGCUGAAGACAAAAGUUCUGGAGAGCAUUAUGGACCAACAGCAAAUGGGUAUUAUGACUCCCCGAAGCAGCCGAUAGCACCUGAGCCAUAUACCUACAACCAAACUCAGUGCAACACCAGGAGUGGAUGACGAUAAAGAUGACAGGGAGACAGCUUGGGUGAUGGAUGGAGGGAAGGAGAAAACAGACUGACUGGAAAAAAGCACAAUUUUAUUGAUUUAUAUUAUUGUGAUUAGAUGUUUAUUUAUUUAUUUAAUGCUAAUUUAUGAAAUAGAAGUAAAAUUUGUUUAUUGAUUUAUGUGAUAAAAUGUGAAAGACUAUAUGCGGCUGUUUGAGAUAUAAACACCAAAUUUUCAAAGCCUAUGUCAUGGCUGAAGUGGUCUUUUCACCUUCAUUUGUGAUAUUAUUUACCAUGUCUGAUAACUUCCUCCCCAUAUGUAUUAAAACCCUGGCUGUUGCUCUGUCAUAAAAGAAAUAGGUCUUUAUAAGAACACAAGCCAUUCCUCUUAUUUUGGCUGCAUACCAACACUCAUGGACUCCUUAGACAGUUUAUCUCGUGCCAGAAACUAAAAGCUGAUGAUGUUAAAGUUGUGUCUCAUUUGUUAUUUCACUCUUUUCUCCUACCAAGUUUGGAACCGUUGUAUGACAGUGGAGCCUUAAAGCCAGGUUAGCCACCUACAGCAGGCUCAGCUCGAUAAUUUACGGUGUCCAUUUUGGUUGUGAGAAGACUGAUUUAUAAUUAUGAGAAAAAUAUUUCAUGAAUAGAGGUCUUGUAUACAGUUUUUACCUAGCAAGUUUUUUUAUUUGAAAGAAGGUAUUUUAAUAUUGGUCUUUGAAUUAUUGAGUUUCUCAGGUGUACUUGAUAUCCUAGUUUACCUUCCACAUUGGAAUUUUCUCAGGAGUUUGUGGUUCAUGUGACUAUGUAUAUAAGGUAGAAAAUGUAACUUCAUGAUCAGGAUAUAAUAUUGUUAACUUUUUAAGUUAUGCAAGUGCACUUCAGCAUAUCAGUGAAAUUGCAACAGUGAAUAUAUUUUGGAUGUAGUCACUUGAAUAAUCUGGAUCUUAGACUACGAAAAGAAGUCAUUCAGAAUUGUGUGGGAAGGUGCUCCGCAAAAUUUGAAUACAUACACGUACUUAAAUUAUAUGUUGUGUUACUUGUAUUUCCCCUCUUUUUAGAGACUUUUAUAUAUAUAUCUCC
This is a long non-coding RNA of Lingula anatina, 1412 nucleotides long. NCBI's taxonomy places the organism in Eukaryota, Metazoa, Brachiopoda, Lingulata, Lingulida, Lingulidae. The record is from RefSeq and is a predicted model, not a curated record.